This is a non-coding RNA of Podarcis lilfordi (Lilford's wall lizard), 79 nucleotides long. The record is from the annotation of a GenBank genome assembly. Lineage: Eukaryota; Metazoa; Chordata; Lepidosauria; Squamata; Lacertidae.
GCCCAGACAUCCUUAGUUCAUUUGUUAGAGCAUGGCGCUGAUAACGCCAAGGUUGUGGGUUUGAUCCCCGUAUGGGACA